GGUGGAGGCGGGAAGGGAGGGGAGGGCCGGGGGCGAGCAGACGGAGUGCGGCCGCGCCGAUGUGAUGAGUCACGCGAAGGCAGCCAGACGCGUAGGUUCCUCACAGGAACCCGGAGGAAACAUGAGAGUUUGUACUGCAUCAUCCAUGAGUCACAGCCCUCAGGAGAACGCGUUUCAGUGCAAGUACCCGAAAUAACAGUUUUAAGUUCAUUAUUAGGUGUUAUUCAGUAGUAAUUCGGAGACAGUUGGAGUUCCCAAGAAACUGUGAUCUAAAUAAUCUUCAAGGAAUAUGGUGUUAAUUCUAAAAAGUCUGAUUACAACCAUUUCCUAGGAAGCGCGAGCAGCACCAACAAGAUGUAUGAUUAGGCUUCAUGUUGUAUGACAAAAAGCAAUUAAGCUAUCCAAGAAAGAUUUUAAAAGCAUUGAAGGCUUUUUCUAAUUUAUUUAUUUAUUUCGUUAAUUGGGUAUUUCUGAAUUGUUUAAAACUCAGGAGUAUCUGAGAGUAAUACCUACUCUGUGUCACGUUGAAAUGUUAGUUACCAGAUGUCCUUGAUUCAUCUUGGCAGUCCCAUGUGCUUUUCGUCAUUUGUCGGAUUGCAAAGGACACUAAUUAAAAUGAAAUGGAGUAGAACUUUGUACUCGGGAUACUUUGUCAAGUUUUGGCACCAUGGUCAUGUUAGUAUUGUUUUGUUCUGGUAUUAAGUCAAGAAGUUCUGGCCCUGAGCCAUGCCGACAUUUGUUUCUGGGAGGGAAGGUGAAAAACCAUUCUUAUUAACCUGCAGUGUGGAACAUAUGGUAACUGUGGGUGGUAGGGCUAAGUUAGGCAGCCAGGAGCCUGCUCUCACUUCGCUGUGCAGAGUCUGGGGUGGGCAAUUGCCACAGAAGGUAGCCACAGUGCUCCGUGCUGCUGUCCAGAAAAGGAAGCUCUGCAUGCAACGUAUUAUCAAGUAAAGCUCUAAUCUGUGAGAGGUGUGUUUGGUACCAUUAUAGAAUGCUUUUAGUGUUUAGUAACUCUGAAAGCUAAAAUUAGAAUGCCUGCCUGCACUCUGGGUUGCUGGGUAGCAGCAGCAUGAAUGGUUC
RNAcentral lists this long non-coding RNA (1080 nucleotides) under Gallus gallus (chicken). Its description in RNAcentral is "long non-coding RNA NONGGAT003535". Lineage: Eukaryota; Metazoa; Chordata; Aves; Galliformes; Phasianidae. The record is from RNAcentral.